RNAcentral lists this ribosomal RNA (505 nucleotides) under uncultured Bacillota bacterium. RNAcentral's name for it is "bacterial SSU rRNA". It matches the Rfam family "Bacterial small subunit ribosomal RNA", at positions 355 to 874 of the family's 1533-position model. The record is from RNAcentral. Lineage: Bacteria; Bacillati; Bacillota.
UGGGGAAUAUUGCACAAUGGGGGAAACCCUGAUGCAGCAACGCCGCGUGAAGGAUGAAGGUUUUCGGAUUGUAAACUUCUUUAGUCAGGGACGAAUAAAUGACGGUACCUGAAGAAUAAGCCACGGCUAACUACGUGCCAGCAGCCGCGGUAAUACGUAGGUGGCAAGCGUUGUCCGGAAUUACUGGGUGUAAAGGGCGUGUAGGCGGGAAUGUAAGUCAGAUGUGAAAUCCCAGAGCUUAACUCUGGAGCUGCAUCUGAAACUAUGUUUCUUGAGUGCCGGAGGGGAAAGCGGAAUUCCUAGUGUAGCGGUGAAAUGCGUAGAUAUUAGGAGGAACACCAGUGGCGAAGGCGGCUUUCUGGACGGUAACUGACGCUGAGGCGCGAAAGCGUGGGGAGCAAACAGGAUUAGAUACCCUGGUAGUCCACGCUGUAAACGAUGGAUACUAGGUGUAGGAGGUAUCGACCCCUUCUGUGCCGGAGUUAACACAAUAAGUAUCCCACCU